Molecule: small RNA, 195 nt
Filed under: Pseudomonas aeruginosa C-NN2
Lineage: Bacteria; Pseudomonadati; Pseudomonadota; Gammaproteobacteria; Pseudomonadales; Pseudomonadaceae
Description: PhrY
Source: RNAcentral
UGAGCGAGAGCAAAGCGUGAGCGGCCGGGACGGCCCGAAGGGCGCCGUUAUCGUCGUCGCAGCAACAUCGACAGGCUUCUCCUCACUUUCUGGUUAACGAGACGGAUGGAUCACGCGCGAGUUUAAACCCUCGGCGGCCCCGCAGCGGCGGGAUUCGACCAUGGUACGGGGCCUGGGACCGGACCGAACCGUUUU